This 29-nucleotide small RNA is filed under the name Bombyx mori (domestic silkworm). RNAcentral describes it as "ovarian small RNA-4483". Lineage: Eukaryota; Metazoa; Arthropoda; Insecta; Lepidoptera; Bombycidae. The record is from RNAcentral.
AGACACAGUGUCGAAUGCCUUGGCGAAGU